UUCCUGGCCUCUCUUCCCAAUGGAAAGGUACGCCGUUCUGAUCAUCUUCAUCUUCUCUAUAUUGUUGUCCCAUGAUGGAAAAAUCCUCAAAGCUGCGGUAGAACUCCGCCAUGCGAGAAGGGCUCGUGGGAGCACUCAGUGAGAAAUCUCCGAACCGCCGUGGGGAAGUUGGAGCGCUGAGGAACGGCAGCGGUCUUGCGUCGUUGAAAUUGAAACCCAUGCCUCCGCCUGGUGAUGAAGGUAACACAACUUCCAUUCUCGACAUGGUCUGAAUGAAGCUUUUUGAGUUUGGGAGAAUAUUAAUAGGAGUUGGGCCAUCUGGGAAUUGGGAGGGUUUGAAUUGAGGGUAAUAAUAAUAAAUAUGGAAUGAGGAAAAGAGAUGGAAAGGGGCGGUAGGAGAUUGUUGACUAUGAUUAUGAAGUCAUGCGACUGGUAGAGCCAAGCCGCCGACUUUUAAUACUCUCCUCGAUCAUUUGUCUGGUUUUCCUUUUUGUUUGUUUGUUUGUUUGCUUGCUUGGUUAGUUGGUUGCUGAUUUUUUAUUAAUGUGAAGACUGAAGAGUUUGAUUUCACACCGGGGAAAUAUGAAGGGGUUUCCCAAGUUUGGGAUAACGUUACGUACCAUAGGAACGCGGGAAAUAAAUAACGACAUACUGUUUUGUUUGGUAAAAUAGUGAAGUUUUGUGUUGUAAAUGGGUGGUAGGUAUACUGGACUGGACUAUACUAUGAUUAUGAUACGGGGGGAGUAAUAAGGAUGUUAGGGUAAAAGACAGGUAACUUAAAUUUAGGAAUUGGAUUGGGCGUUCAAGCAAAGUGAAGUAGAGAAAGGGUAAGUAUUAAGAGGGCUAAGGCUAGAGAGUAGUCGUGUGGGUAAAUUUUCACUUCAGUUAUCUGAUGUAUGAGGUGUUUUUAUAAUUCUAUGUUGGUAAUCAUUGAUUGUGUACUGUGAGUCACAUAUGUUUUUCUUUUCAUAUCUAUGUUCCUCGUCGACUAACCCAUUGGUUAUUUUGAAAAGGUGAGCGUAUCACCACCAAAAAACCAAAUGGUGAGCAUAGGCUACGGUAUAAUUUAAGUCUCAAGGAAUCCCACGAAUCCAAGCUUCUUCUCCUUCUUUGCCUAACGAAUCUGGAAUAGUUUUUUCCGAUCAAGAACUUGGAUUAAACCCAGGUGGAGAAAUUUCUCCCAAUCAAGUGAAUGAAUCAAAAGGAACAGAACAGAGGAUGACCAACAAAAACCAUAUGGAGAACUUUGGAGCACGAACAGUUAAGUGGGUGAUACAUCAGUUGGUGACGAAUAAAAUAGCAAUGGGAGUGCUGAUAUGGGAUUUCAAAGGGCAAGUUUCUUCAACCCAGAACUGGAAAAAUAACGGCGGUGACGAAAUCGGAGAAAUCGGGAAGAAGGAAGAAGAAGAUGAAGAGAAUCAAAAGAGAAGGGUCUUCAUUAGCUGCGGCGGCAGAUGAGAGGAGGAGAACCACUGCUGCCGUGCGUUAGGAUUAAUUCUUAAUAAUUAUUUUAUGAUCAUAUUUAAUUAUUUUUAAGGAAUAAUGACAUGGCAGAUUUUGGUGGGAUCUUAUAUAGAAAUUUUGCCACAUCAGCUGCCAUGUUGCAGUUUAUAUGUCAUGUGUAGACUGAUUUGUCAACUUCAACUAACGGAAAGCAAAAAACAACUAGCGACGUGUCAGGUUUUAAUAAAAUUUAGAUAGUUCAAGAGUAAAUUUUAAAAGGUUGUGUAUAUCCGUA
This 1738-nucleotide long non-coding RNA is filed under the name Linum usitatissimum (flax). RNAcentral describes it as "long non-coding RNA (LUSI_LNC007864)". Lineage: Eukaryota; Viridiplantae; Streptophyta; Magnoliopsida; Malpighiales; Linaceae. The record is from RNAcentral.